GAAAGCCGUGUGAGGCGAAAGUCUCACGUACGGUUUAGAAUAGGGGAAAAGGUUGAGACGACACAAAGCCUGAACUAUCAC
This 81-nucleotide non-coding RNA is filed under the name Thermoanaerobacterium sp. RBIITD. Lineage: Bacteria; Bacillati; Bacillota; Clostridia; Thermoanaerobacterales; Thermoanaerobacteraceae. The record is from RNAcentral.